GAGUCAGGGGAGCCGAUGAGAUAGGUGUCGAGACCGUCGAACUUCUCGACGAGGCCGGAGCCACUCGAUGGGUUCAGGGUUGGUGGGUGGGAGCAGCACUGAGGGCUUGACAUUUUGUUUGUACUUUUGUUUUUCUCUGAAGCAAACACACUCUCUGCUUUUCUGAUCAAAUGAUUUAUAAGGUGGUUAGGGACAGAUGGCUUGAGACUGAGAGUUGCGUAGUCGACAAGAAAUGAAGGUUUUGAUUUAGGGGAACUUUAUCUUAAUUUAUGUACAUUAAACAUUGACCUUCUUUCUUUUCAAUAAUUACGAUCUGAUUUAAUAUGAAUUAAACAAUGAACCUCUUUCAUUUCAAUAAUUACAAUCUGAAUUUACUCAAAUUUGGAGCGUGACAAUAAUUUUACGAGGAAAUGGGAGGAAUGGUCCUUUAACUAUCCUAGAAUUGUAGCUUUAGUCCUUAAAUUAAAAUAUUAUUAUAUUUGGUCCUUGAAAUGUGGAGCGUUAGUCCUUCAUUACCAAUUCCGUUAAGUUUUAGUUAAAAGUGUUUACAUGUUAGUUUCACCUAUAUAUAAUAGAAAAGAUGAAAAUUACAACAAAAAUUGGAGGCCUACCUCAUCCACCAACACUCACAGCCCACCCCUUCAACUUCAAUCUUUGAUACACUCCCCGCCAACCUCCCACUUCCAACCCCCAAUCGUUAAUCCCCACUCCCCAGCUGACCCCAACCUAUAGCCUACGAAGCACAACCUUCACCAAACCCUGAACCCGCAUCCCACAAAAUUCUUGAAUCUUACCUGUCGAAACAACGUGGAUGGAUGUCAUUGUGAAUUCGUUUACAAAGGGAGACGUGUUCGAAAUUUGGAUUAGAAACUUUCUUUUGUUUUGGUUGUUUGGAGAGUGCUACAAUGUCGUGGCUGCGGUUUGGAGGAGGCGAGGCAGAAGGGAAGACGGGAGAGAGAGAGAGAGUUAACUUUUAUAUUUUUAGUAUUUUUAUUUUGGAGAAAUUAGGUUAUCAUCAUUCUUUUUGCUACUUCACUGAUUAAAAUCUUAUUCAUUUUCAAUUUUUGAUCAAGGUCCUUGGUAUUAAUAACAUCAUUAAUAAUUUCAAUAAUAAAAUAUUUUUUUAUUUCUAAUAUAUUCAUUUAAUGUUAAAAAUGUUACAAUUAGUAUAUUUAUAUUUAUGACUAAAUUUUUUGUCAUAUAUUUUUAGUUUUAAUUUAUACCCAUUUUUAAUUUGUACCAAUUUUCUUUUUAGUUUUAAUUUGUACCCAUAUAUUAACUUCUUUUUGUGCCCUUAUUUUUUAAAGUUUAUUCGUAUUUGUACCCAUAUUUUUUUUAUUUGUACAUUUUAUUUUGCUAAUUGUACCCAUGCUAAUUAUAUGUACCCAUUCAUGUAAAACUUUUUAAUCUAAAAAUGUACUCAUUCUUAAAUAUAUCAAUUUGUUAUAUGUAAAAUGUACCUUUUUUUAUAUAAAAUGUAACAAUCCGUCCCAAAUCUUACGUUUUUACAAAAUUUAAAAGUGUGAUUUUACGAAAAUGCCUUUAGAUGCGAUGGUCUUGACAUCCGUUGACCAACGUAUAGCAAGGUGUAUGAAUUAAUACUUAGCGUUUUCUUGAAGUACUCGAUGUUACAGAAUUAUAAAACCGAGAAGUACUUUUGCUUAGUCGCUAUUCAUAUAUUUUAUACAUUUUUAUAAUGAUAUAUUUUGUUUAUCAUUUAGUGAUUUUAAAAAUAGUUGAAGAAGAAGAGGAAGAAGGGGGGGCAUGGGAAAGAGAACAGAGGGAAGGGCUGCUGCCCAAUCAGAGGAGAGGAAGAGAGAAGACUGCCCAAUUAGAAGUAGAAGCGAGGAGGGAAAUGAGGGAGAGUGGAGAGCGGGGGAAAAGGGGGGGGGGGGGAAACGGGUUCCCAACCCGUGACCCGUGUACACCCAGUCUAAUUUUCCAUAUUUUCCGAUGGUUUUCCAUCGGAUUUCUCACGAAAUUGGACCAAGAAACCAUUCCCAAUCAUCCCCUAGUCCUUUCCUCUUCCAUUCCCAAUCAAAUUUUAUAGGAUUUGAACUUGAAUUCGAGUAGAAUGAAACUGUGGGUUUCGAGGGUGCCAUGACAAAAUCCGAUGAUCAUGAAGGUAAUCCAGCAAAUUGCUACCACCACUAGACUCCCCUAGAACCCAGGAACAAAGCCCUCAGUGGUGGAGGCGUCGGAACACGUUUGAAGGUCGAAUCGAAGCACACCCAAUUCUAGGGUUCCGAUGGGUUUUGAUGAAAUUAGAGCCUUUCCAGGCCAAAUUUGCCUUGGUCACAGGUAUGAAAGUUGUUCUACUCAUUGAGAUCUUCAAAUCUAAAAAUUUUGGUAAGUUUUAGAGAUAGUUGAUUUUUCCGGUGAGUUGGGGCGGCCAACCGCCACCCACAGCGGCGCGUGCGGUGGCGUGUGGCCAGAGGGCCGCCAAUGAUAUUUUUAGGCUAUAUUUGAUGCCUUGAAUUCAUUUUUGAGAAUUGAAUGAUGUAGAUUGAUCGUUAGAACCAAAAUUCUCUAAGAUACGUUAAUAGGCCAUUAUAUGAAUCGACAAUUCGACCGUUGGAUCGUUAUCAAACUUUAAUAGGUUAUUAUUCAUAAUAUGUGAGGAAUAUAGGAACUUAAGGAUUGGAAAUCCGACGUAUGGAUCUUCUCGAAUUGGAUUUGUAAGUUCGUAAAAUAAAAUGUUAACCGCCACUUGGUUUUGGCAAUUGGCGGAGAUCCGACCGUUGGAUCGUUCCGAAACUUUAGUUUGUUAUUCUAGAAGCAUAAUGUGGAUCCUUGGAAGUUACGGAUCAGAGAUCUAAUUUGUAGAUCUUCUGGACCGAAUUACGUAGACUCAUGUGCAAUAUAAGUUAUGUAUUAUAUCAACGAGAAUUCUAAGAUAUGGUUUGAUAAUUGGUCACAGGUGCCGAUCGUUUGUGACGCCUCGAUGUUUGUGCUAGGAAGUUGUAACGCGGACUCUAGGUGAGUGGAUCUUUCCUUGCUUAUCAUAUUUUUCAUGAUUGAUAAUUCUAUAAAUGCUUUUAAAUAAAACUGAGAAAUUUAUGCCAUGACAUAUAUAUAUUUAUAUGUUAUAAAAUACUAUGAUGGUUGAGUUUAAAUUUCAACGUGAUAUAUCCAUAUGCGUAUUACUAUAAAUGAUUAUUGCGCACUACGAAUGGCUUGAUCCCUGUUUAGGGUACGUAGGCGGUCUAACGAGACGUUAGAUGCAGCCAUAUAAGAAAUGAGAUUAUAUAAUCGAGACAAUAGCCUUGUUUAAGGAAUUGAGCAAUGUGAGGGAUAUUGGUGAAAAAUGUGCGUUUUAACUUUAUGUUUUGGUGAUUAAUAGUUAGUACACCGUAUUAUAUAAUUGGAAAUACUAUGAAAUGUUUUUAUUUUAGAUUUCAUCAUGGCAUAUCCAUACGUAUAUUCCUUGCACAUAAUUAUUGUGAACGUUCUGAAGUGCAAAGGUGAACGCAGGACACAUAGGUAAGUUCAGGUAAGCUUAGGUAAGUUCAAGUAAGUAUACGGUAUUAGUUGAAUUGAUGGGGUUAUGAUAUGACUACAUUUAUGUUUAAAGCAAUUCCAACACUGUCGUACAUGUUGCAAUAGUAGGCAACUUCGGCAUUGUCGUACAUGUUGCUUAUGAGUCGUACAUGUUGUAUUAGAUGCAUUCAAAGCUUAUAAACCUACACCCUGGUGUUAGUGCUCCCGCCUGUGGCCAGGGCACAAUCCUUCACGUAAUGUUCACCUCUUGCACCAUUCGCUCACCUUGAAUUCAAGGUAGGUGCACAGACCUGUCGUACAGACCAUUAUAGGUGGUUCCGACUCAUAGGUGACUCUUCACGUGAUUGUAGCACUUAAUCGUAUUCAUUUACCCCCAAUCCUAUCGUACAGACCAUUAAUGUGGUUCCGACUCGUGUGUAGGCGUAGUGCCGUAUAGGUCACUAGAGGUGACUCCGGUUUAUGUGCUAGCAAUGAUUAAUGAAAUAUGAGUACAGUUGUACAGGUCACUAGAGGUGACUCCAACUUAUAUGCUAGCCAUGAUUGAUGAGAUAUGUGAUGAGCUAGCAUAUGUAAUGAAUAAGAGACGAGCUAGCAUAUGUGAUGAGUAUGUGAUGAGCUAGCAUAUGUAACAAAUAAGAGAUGAGCUAGCAUAUGUGAUGAGUAUGUGAUGAGCUAGCAUAUGUAAUGAAUAAGAGACGAGCUAACAUAUGUGAUAAGCUAGCAUAUGUAAUGAAUACGUGACGAGCUAGCAUAUGUAAUGCAUAUGUUAUGAACUAGCAUAUGUGAUGAAAUAUGGGUAAGUUGUACAGGUCACCUUAGGUGACUCCAACUUGCGUCCUAGUAUGAGUUAUUAAUCGCAUGAUUAUUUGAUAUUAUUGAUGAAAUGCUGUGUUGUGGUAUAUUAUGAAUUUUUUGGAAACUAUACAGGUGUUGUAGUGAGGGGUUAUAAUGUUUCACAUGGUUUCUAUUAAUACUUACAGGGCCACUCACCUUGUCUUGUCUUCACCCUCCAGGUUUUAUUAGCUGAGCUUUCUUAUCGUCGAAGAUUUGUAGCGAUUCUUAGUAUUGGAGAUUAUUUCGAGGGUACGAUUCUUAAUUCACUCUUCUGUACUUGCUUAUGCUCUAACGUUACAUGUGAAGUGAGUUCAUUCCCGCUCACAGGUGCACUCUGGUAUUUAGGCACUCUUAGGUUUAAAUUUAUUCACAAUCUUCCACAUCAUCACAUUUUAUGGCUUCGUCACCUUCCAGGUGUUGGCCAGCACAGCUCGAUUCAGAGUCCUAGUGGACAUUCCGGGUCGGGUGUGUCAUAAAAUCUAUUCAAUUUUUUUUCUAAUCCAUUUUUAAACUUAUAUGGGUACAUUAAUUAUUUUUUCUUUGAUUUUAAAAUGUAUCCAUGUCAAGUUUAAUUUAAGAAAUUUACUAAUGUUAUUAAGCCUAAUAUCUUUCUUUUUUUUUUGUGAUUUUGAAGAAUAUACCCAUGUUUUGAUACAAUAAAUUUUUUGGUUAAUUUUGAUGAAUGUACCCAUGUUUAUAUAUAGAUACACACACAAUAGAAUAUUUAUAUUUUAAUAUUUUUAAUCCACAAAUUAUGGUUUUUUAUUUAAAAUCUCAUUUAUAUAAACAACUAAAAUUUCUAAUUUUUAAUUUAAAAAAUAUAGUAACGUACAUAAAAAUAAAUUAUCACAUUAAUUUCAGGGACCUUGAUCAAAAAUUAAAAACCAACAAGGUUUUAAUCAAAGAAUAUUCAUAGCUAAGGACCGUAUCCAAAGUCUCCCUUUUAUUUUUGUUUUUCUUUCUCUAUGUUUGUAUUUAUUUUUAUUUUGAAUUUUUAAGCCACGUGGCAUUUAGUAACAAAAAUAUGGAGCCCACAAAGACCACGUCAUCAAACUAACGGAAAAUCUCACGAUGUUAGUAUGGAGGAACCAAUGCUCUACAUUUUGUUAAGUUCAAGGACCAAAUCUAAUGAAUUUUAAGUUUAAGGACCAAAACUACAUUUCGAUCAUAGUUCAGGGACCAUUCCUCCAAUUUCCUCUAAUUUUACACUUAUCUAAUUCUCACAACUAAGGAAUCGUAGUUAACUUAAUGAAGAUGAAUACACUAGAUCAUAAUACUAAAUGGUCAAAUCGUAAUUAACUUUGAUUUCCUUUGAUGACUUUGACAAAUGAACUACCAACCUACACCAUUAAAUAAGUUUUAUUAUCUAAUCGUAACACAAUUAUCUGGAAUUAUCAAAUCAAAAUAUAAAUAUCAAUUCGUUGAAGAUCUACUAAUUAGCUACGAUUAUAUGAUAUCUUCUUCACUUUUAAGUGGAAGAUUUCAAGUUCAGCUCGCAUGAAUGACUAGAAAGUAAUAUAUUUAUAGGCUUUAACAAGUUUUGGUUAGCCCUAUGCCUAUCGAUUCACCCCAGCUUCUACAUUGGAGUCUAUCUAAUGUAGAAUAUGAGUGAAUUGGGGUGUUUGGUUACAAAGUGGGAUAGCUAUAAGGUUAAUUUUAUCAUAUUAAAAUUAUUUUAUGCUAAUGUCAAUAUAAAAUUAACGAAACUCUAACGGAAUGAGGUUUGUGAAAUGAUUUUGAAACAUCAAAGGUUUUUGUGUUACUUUCAAAAUCGAAAGAAUUUUUGUGAAAACUCAAAAAAUUCCAAUAAGUAUGUAAUUAACCCAAUAAAAAAAUAUGAAUAUAUACAAUUGACAACUAAAACUUUUCAGAAAAAAAAAAAAACAAAAAUUUGUUGCAGUCAUAUUUAUAAUAAGAAUGUGAUUGUGUAAAUCCUAGUAGAUCUAGGAAUAUCUCUUAUAUUCCUAUUAUGAGUUGAUUACUUAUUAAGAGUUGUAAUCCUAAAUGAGUAAAAUUUUUGACUAUCCUACUACUAUAAAUAAAGGCACAAUGGGAUGAUACAACAACACCUCACAAUUAAAUCUCUUUCUUCUCUCUUGCUACCGCUGGCCCCCUCCCUUUUUAUUCCCUUAGAAUAGCUUAGUUAAAUAGGCGUACAACACGUUAUUAGCACACUCUUUCCAAAAGCUGAGGAAUUGAUGGAUCAUAGGAAGAGGCUAUCUUCCACAAAAUUCAAAGACUCUUUUUUGUUUUCUGCCAAUCAGGUACACUUAAAAUAAAGGAAGAUAUUUGAAACGUCCACGAAGCAUGAAAACAUUUCCCAUGAUGCAUGAAUCCCUCUAUGUUUAUAUUUUCCUUACGAUAUAUAUAUAUAUAUAUUGUAUAUGUUCAUAUAUUUGUCAAUAUGUAUAUGUUUCAUGCAUUACGCAAUUAAAUUGCUAUCUGGAAUUUGUGAGUCAAAGCAUAUAAAUAAAUUAGAAACAAUUCUAGGGUUUUUCAAACCCUAAUUAUGUCGGAAAAAAAAAGAAGGGAAAAUUUUUACGUUGGGCACUGUGCAGCACCAUUGUGGCACUAUCGGACCAUCACUGGCCUGAAGCCCAGUCAUAUGGACCACACGGCAGCAGCUUUUGGGCUUGCUGCAUUGACCCAUAUAUCCCAAGGCCUUUGGCCUGAUGAAACUAAUGGGCCUGAAGUCCUAUAACCCAACCAAAAGCCUGCAGCUUUUUGGCCCAAUGUCCCGCGAGUCCUUCGCCCUCUAGGUUGUGCCAUGAAGCCUCAACCCACUCGCCCGCAGCCUUUGCUGCUGGGCUUGGCUUGCCCCAACCUGGACCCAACCUCGUCUGGGCUUCCUAUGCCAACCCAAGGCUAACGUUCCGUUGGGCCUGACUCGUGCCCCCCAUUCGGCCCAAAAGCUAGCAGUUGCUGCUACUGGGCUCACCUGUCUUGGCCCGUGGCCUGUAGUCAUAUAUGGGCUGCUUUUGCAGCCAUACCCGAGCCCAUUUACCCCUAGGACUUUGCCCUAUUCUCGGCACCCUAGCCCAAACCUGUUUUUGGGCUAUACUUUUUUGACCCAAUGCUAAUUUUUGACAUUUAAAUUAUUUUAACCUGAAUGUUAUUAUUAUUUUUGCUUCCACGAUCAACCCUGUUUGGUCCCGAUCUAUUGAAUUAAUUAAAAGUGACAUGCAGUCCAUUAAUUUGAUAAUUAAUCCCAAAGUAUUGACCUGAAUAUCACUUUUGGACAUUAUCGAUUCAAUAAUUUAUUUUUAUACUUUGAACUGUUGACAUACUUAUGUAGUAAUGAAGCUCUCACAAUUGAGUUCCCGAAGAAAUUCAAAUUUACUUCACUUAAGUCAGCAUAUUGCAUUUUGUGUUUCUUGCAGGAACCUCUCAUUUAUGAACUAAUCGUUCAAAAAAACUAAAUUGAACCUGUAGUUUCAUAUUUAGUGCCUUUGAAACCUGAAGUUUUCAUUCAAAACUUACCACAUGAAACCUAUAGUUUUCAUGCAUAAAUUAAACCAAUGCAUGUCUAUAGAACCCAACUGUUCUACGAUGUAUGUCUAUGGAUCAUCCGGAAGAUGCUAUUACAUCCAUGGAGAUAUUAGAUUUUCAGUCAGCGCCUAUGGAAGAAUAAAUUAGACAUAUUUUUAGGGUGUUUACCCUUAAUGGCCGAACCUAGUAGGAGUGGUCGGCCCCUCUCCCCUAUUUUUCUAGGUUUAUGGUUUAAUUUUGAACAAAUUUUCCAAGUCUUUGGAAUAAUUUGUUUGAUUUUGGUUUGUUUUGAAUUAUGGAUUGUUAUUUGAUGGAUAUUAUUUCUCGAAUUGCUUAAUUGAAUGAAUAGAAUUAUAUUUAUGCAUGUGACCAAUACAACCAAUUUAUUUCUAGGUAUGUCUAGUGGGGAAAUUAGUUGUCUGGCUGAUAGUGUUGCCAGGCACACCAUCUUGCGUGAGUGACACUAUUUUACUAACUUAAUACCUAAGAAAGCACCUCUGACAACUCUUUUAGGUCCAUCCAACCUCAUUGAAGGAUACAGAAAAGCUAGUAUCAUGUUGUCCAAUAGUAUAAUCUUAACCAAUAAAGAGGCACUCUAUUUUCCACUUUUCGGAAGAAGUUGUUGAGUUUUAGAGAUAUUCAAGAUAAUCAAUAUCAUAUUGAAACCCCUAAAGAUAAUGGUUUUGAAUUUCUUUGUAUCACUUCGUACGAAUAUUGCCAGAAGCAUAUUCACGAGAAGUUGGAACGUCUCCCGAGUGGGUUGCACAUAACAACCAUUCGCGACGCCUGAGUUCCAUAGCACUUUGUUGCUUUGGCAUGACCAUUUGGGACAUCCUGGAUGUGACAGGAUACGUCGUAUCCUUAAAUCAUCACAUGGGCAUCGGUUAUCUCCUUAUGUUGGAUUCCCGCCAUGCAAAGCAUGUUCUUUAGGGAAGUUGAAUACUCACUAGGGGAUAUUUGUGGACCUAUCCAACCAACCUAUGAACCAUUUUGAUAUUUUAUGGUGUUGGUUGAUACAUUGACAUGAUGGUCACAUGUUUGUCUAUUGUCUACACACAACACUACAUUUGUAAAACUCCUAGCACAAAUUAUUAAGCUAAUGGCUUACCCUGAUUAUCCAAUUAAGUCGAUUCAACUGGAUAACGCUGGAGAGUUUACAUCGCAGACUUUUGACGAUUAUUGCAUGUCAGUAGGGAUUGAUGUGGAACAUCAUGUACCCCAUGUUUAUACCCAAAAUGGCCUGGCAGAAGCUUUCAUAAAGCGCCUUCAAUUGAUAGUUCAGACUUUGGUUAUGAGAACUAAAUUGCCUCAAAUUGCCUGUAAUUGCCUGUAUCUACUUGGUGCUAUGUCGGUCCGCCUGAGGCCCAUCACUACCCAACCUCGUUCACUGUUACAGUUGGUUACUGGUACAAGCCUGACGUCUUGCAUUUACGUGUGUUUAGGUGUAUAAUUUAUGUGCCAAUAGUGCCGCCACUACGUACCAAAAUGGGUCCUCAAAGAAAAAUGGGAAUCUAUGUCGGUUAUGAUUCGCCAUCAAUUGUUCACUAUUUAGAACCCUUGACAGGAGAUCUCUUUAGCGCAUGUUUUGCAAACUGUCAUUUUGAUAAGACAAUCUUCCCAUUGUUAAGGGGAGAUAAGUACACUAACGUUCCUGUAGAACGCCACAAAUUGUCGUGGUAUGCUCCUACUAUGUCUCAUUUUGAUCCCUACACUGCCCAGUCUGAAACUGAAGUGCAACGAAUUAUAGAUCUUUAGAGCAAUGCUUAGAGCAUGCCAGAUGCUUUUAAUGAUCUAGCAAAUAUGACAAGAUCACAUAUACCUGCUGCAAAUGCACCUACAAGGAGAGAUGUACCUCGCAUACGUCACAAUCCCGCCUGGGAAGGCCGGACCGUACCCAAAGGUGGGGAGGCCCCACCUUCCAUGCAAUAAAGUACAUUGGCGGCUAGCCAAUCAUCUGCUCCGACCCUGAAGCAUGGUAGACUCCUUGGUUCUAAAGAUUCACAACCCCGGAAGAGGAAAUCGGCACCAACUAGUGACCCUAGUUUGAAUCCAACCAUCGUUCACUCAUUCGUUCCAACACAUGAGGUUAUUCUAGAUUAGGGUGAUGUCUUAGAUGAGAUAAAACGACCUCCCGAGAAUCGUGAGAUUUCGAUCCACUAUGGAAUAUUGGAUGAGGUUUGGAAUAAGAAUGAGAUGAUCGUCGACGAUGCAUUUGGGUACAUAGUAGCUACUGACAUCAUGCUUAGCGAUGACAUUGAACCACGUUCCGUUGAUGAAUGCCAACGUAGAACAUAUUGGUCAAACUAUAAACAAGCAAUCCAGGUUGAACUCAAUUCGCUUACGAAACGUAAAGUGUUUGGACCUAUCUUUCCUACCCCACCACGUGUGAAGCUAGUGGGCUAGAAGUGGGUUUUCGUAAGGAAGCGUAAUGAGAAUAAUGAAAUAGUGGGAUACAAAGCACGCCUCGUAGCGCAAUGUUUCUUUCACCAUCCUGGGAUUGAUUACGAAGAGAUGUAUUCCCCUGUAAUGGAUGUUGUAACGUUCUGCUAUAUAAUCAGUUUGUUAGUUUAUGAAAAACUGAAUAUGCAGCUUAUAUACAUGGUAACCGUGUAUCUCUAUGGGGAUCUAGAUAUAGAAAUAUACAUGAAAGUUCCAGAAAGACUUCCAUUGACUGGUUCAGAUAGUUCUAGACCACGGAACACUCUCUUGAUUAGAUCGAGGAGGUCACUCUACAGAUUGAAACAAUCCCAGUGGAUGUGGUAUAACCAUCUGCGUGAAUAUUUGACAAGUCAGGGUUAUGUGAACAACGAAUUAUGCCCAUGCAUGUUCAUAAAUAAGUCAAAUUCCAUAUUUGCAAUCGUUGCAGUUUCUGUCAACGACAUGAACCUUAUUGGAACUCCUGCAGUGCUUGAGGAAAUUGCUACGCAUUUGAAAUCAGAAUUUGAGAUGAAAGAUUUUGGGAAAACUCGGUACUGCCUCGGCCUGGAGAUCGAGCAUUAUUCAGAUGGAAUCCUAGUACAUCAGUUAAACUACAUCUAAAAGGUAUUGUGACGUUUUGUUGAGGAUAAAGCGAAGCCUUCGAGUAGACCUAUGGUUAUUCGGACUCUAGAUGCUAAACGAGAUCCUUUCCGUCCAAAGGAAGAUGAAGAAGAGGUUUUGGAACCCGAAGUUCCUUACCUAAGUGCAAUUGGGGCUUUAUUGUACUUGAAUCAAUGCAUUAGACCCAACAUUUCCUUUGUUAUUAAUCUUUUGGCUAGAUACAGCAAUGCGCCCACAUGCAGGCACUGGAAUUGUGUUAAAGAUAUUUUCCGCUACCUCAAGGGUAUGACGAAUUUGGGCUUGUUUUAUACCCGCGAAUCUUCGAGUGUUGCUGCCCCAUAUGGUUCUCGAAUUGAUUCUCGCCUUGUUGGUUAUGCAGAUGCUGAAUAUUUAUCUGACCCACAUAUGGCACAAUCUCAAACAGGCUAUGUCUUUACUGUUGGAGACACCGUUAUAUCUUGGAGGUCUACCAAGCAAAUGCUAGGUGCGACUUCUUUGAACCAUGCUAAGAUUCUUGCCCUACAUGAAGCAUCGCAUGAGUGUUGUUGGCUGAGAGCAGUCAUGGAACAAAUUUGAAGCACUAGUGGUCUUACUUCCGUCGUUGACCUUCCUACGACGAUCUUUGAAGACAAUGCAACAUGUAACGAGCAAUUAAAGAAGGAAUACAUUAAAAGAGACAACACCAAGCAUAUAGCGCCAAAGUUCUUUUACUCACACCAACAACAACAACAAAAUCAGAACAUUGAAGUCAAGCAAAUUUGUUCCCAGGACAACCUGGCAGAUCUCUUCACCAAGUUAUUGCCCAAGUCUACUUUUCAGAAGCUCGUCCAAGAAAUUGGUAUGUGUAAAUUAUCUAAGUUGAAUCGCUUGUAGUUCUCUUAUUUAGAAGUUAUGUCUAACUCAAGGGGCGUAUUCAGAAGCAUACUCACUUGAUUUUAAUGUACUCUUUUUCCUAUGAUUAGGAGCAUUUUUUCUACUAGGUUUUUGCUACCUAACGAGGUUUUGAUAAGGCACCCAUCCUAGGUUGAUCAUACUCCGUUAAGUUAACUACUUUCGUCCUGUUUGACAUUUGUUUUAGACAUUAUGCAUAUUUCUCACUUUUCUCCUUAGUAUAUAAGGUUUUCCCCAUGCCUUGUGUUUUACCAUAGCGAGGUUUUGUAAGUUUUACCACCAAUGCAUACUUUCUUUAAAUUUGAGACUCACGUUCACCCAUUGUGCCGAUGACUUCAUCAAUUAUUCUACCUUAUCUGCUGAAGAUCUGAUGUGAUGGUUUGUUAAGUAUUUACACACUCAAGGGGGAGUGUUGCAGUCAUAUUUAGAAUAGGAAUGUGAUUGUGUAAAUCUUAGUAUAUCUAGGAAUAUCUUUUAUAUUCCUAUUAGGAAUUGAUUACUUAUUAAGAGUUGUAAUCCUAAAAGGGUAAGGUUUUUACCUAUCAUACUACUAUAAAUAAAGGCAUAAUUGGGUGAUACAACACACACCUCACAAUUAAAUCUCUCUUCUCUCUUGCUACCGCCGGCCCCCUCCCUCUCUAUUCCCUUAGUAUAGCUCAGUUAAAUAGGCCUACAACAAAACUUAAUUUGUAGAGAGAAAUGUCCGAGCAAAAUAUAAGUAUCUCAUCUCCUUCCUAAGAUAAAUCCUACGCAUCUCACCUUGCUUAAAAUUAUGAUGGUAUACAACUAGUUACUUUUAAAACUUUCUCCGAAGCAGCUUAAAUUUGUAAAAAUCAGGUAGAAACUCGAAAAAAAAAAAAAAAAAACUUUUCACUAAUCACUUCUAUAAAACAUAUUUUUAAUCCACUUUAUAAUUCUCGUAAUAAUUAGUUAGUGAGGAGACAACUAUCCCUGCAAAAGGUAGGCAUUUGAUCUCCUUCCAAGUAGCGAGGGAGAGAGAAAGAACCCAUGCAUCACAUGGGAAUCAAUCAAAUACACAAAGCAAAAACAUGCCAUCGAGAACAAAUGCGUGAUGCUAUCUACAUUUUUUUUUACCUUUCACUUAUGUCCUUCGUGGUUACGGAACAAGUAGUUAAGCAAGAGCUACGGGAGUGAUGGAAGAACCUGGCCGAAGUCAGUGUUGUGUUCAACUCCACGGAUUGACUGCCUUUAGUCGGCUUAUACGGAUUAAUCUUUUUUUCAAAAACAGUCAUCUUCAAUUUGUCGAUUCAAUGGCCGAAAGUUGAGACGAGUGUGUGGAAAAUAAAGGACACAUGAAUAGCACCAUUCACAAAUUAAGCAAAGAUUAAUAAUGUAUGUGAUGAAAAGUAGGGACUAGUAGCUGAAUGCAUGGGUGGUGUUGGGGGGGGGGGGGGCUAGAUAAAGUCGAGUAGAUAAUUGAUUGCCCAUUGAAAUUUAGCUUUUGUUGCUUAUGUGAACAAGGCUUUGAGACUGAGCGACUUUGAUCCCUCAAUUAUUAUUUAUCAAAUACAAAGAUUUAUCUGGCUAAUCAGCUAGUUCCCCGACAAGAUUGAGAAAUUUCCUACUAAUAAAUUCGCACAUUUACAUCAUAUAAUUGUUCCUUCGGUCGUUUGGUUCCCAUCUCAGAUCUUAUAAAAUACAAUUGUCAUCAGCUUACUCUAGAGACUAGAGUGAUUAGUCAUAUAAGCAUGAUCAGCUGUUACAUUAUGGAAGUCUUUAUCAAGGAAGCUACAAGGUGUCUGAAAAUGUGUUUGGGCAUCGAGCAACUUAGGCAAUAAAAAAUUUUAAAAUUAGUAGGCACUAUGUGAUAGUGACAGUCGCACUAAAAAAAAAUUCAAGAUAAUUAGCCGCACUUGUUAAGUUCAUAUUCUCGAAUGUUAAGACCUUAGUUAGGAUUCUAGAAGAGACUAGAAAGAUUGAUCCGCACGUUGCUGCAGGAGUUUUAUGACAUAUUAUAUUUCGGACAUAUGAAUGGUGGUGUUGUAGGUGAUCAAAAGUAUUUACAGUGAGAAUGUGGGACUAUAUUUUACACCUAAAAGUUUCAAUUCAUAUUAGUUCAUAUAGAAAAUAUUACAAAAUGUUUGACCAUCACAACACAAAAAUGGUCAGGUUAAUACAUUCCCCUUCAGCCAUCUUUCCACUCUUUGAUAAGAUGAGUACUUCUAGAUAAAACAUGUUACAAAACUUUGGAACGUUUAUAUGCAAAAAAGAAUCGCUUCCCAUGUUUGCCUCCGUUAGUUAAUAAAAACCCGUUAGAGGACCAUUAAAAUUAGAAGAAAAAUGUAAUUUCACUACAAACCCACAAAAUGUACGCGACCCUGCCUAAAAAUAUUUUGGCGCCAAAUAGUCUUGCAGACAUCUAUUUUGCGGGAUUACAAAUCAGCUGCGUAAUUGUGCCGACGUCGAGUCUUUUGAGUUUGAAAAGCUUUUGAGAUUUUUGGCUAAUAGUUUGUUGGCAUCUUGUUCACUUUUAGUGGAACAAUAUUUGUUCUCAUUCACAUAAACUUAAUCCCAUGUACAUCAAUCAAGGACAUAAUUGAUAACUACAUCAAAGUCACGAAAGCAAUUUCCUUCGAGAUCACAAAGAAGAAUGAGAAUCCUUUUAUACUCUAAUAUUCAAUUUCAUGCAUGGGGCAUGCACUUGUUUCUAGAUCAUCUUUGUGAGUAUCCUGGGGAUCCUCCAAUCAUAUCCGUUCAUCGUAUAUUGUGCGGUCAGAAAUUAUUUUAAUAUUUUUAUUUAAAAUUGAACAUAAAUAGUACCUGACGAAAACUAACCGCACGAUGUACGAUAAAUGGCCACGAUUGGAGGAUCUCCGUGAUCCUUACAAAGAGGAUCUGGAAAGGAUCCUCAUUCCACAAAAUAAUGAGUAAUAUGUUGAAAGUGCUUUCCAAUUGAAGCUCACAUUCAAAUCCAAGAAGUUCUUCAAGAAAGGCAAUGCUCGAGAUGACCAGCAAGGCGGGGAGCAAAGAUGGAAAAAAGGCGAGUCUAGCAAAAGAGAUGAUACCAAAACCAACAAAGGUAAUAAGCCUUUUUGCAAGAUUUGUAACAAAAGUAACCAUGAUAUAGCUGAUUGUUUUAACCGCAGGAAGCCAAAGUGUCAUUAUUGCAACAAAUUUGGACAUGUUGAAUAGGAAUGCAGAUUCAAGAAUUCUAAUCAAGCAAAUUUUGCGGAGAAGGAUGAUGCAAAAGAAGGAAUUUAUUUUAUGCUGGUCAAUCAAAAUCCGAAGAAGGAAAUAAUGUUUGGUAUGUGGAUAGCGGCUGCAUCAAUCAUAUGACAUCAAAUGAAAAAUAAUUUGUUGAUUUGGACACUUCCAUUACUCCCAGAAUAAAUAUGGGAGAUGAUUAUUAUCACCAAGCGUUGGGGAAAUGCAUUGUUCCCGUCCAAACAAAAAAGGGAGUCAAAUAUAUCCAUGACGUUUUGCUUGUUCCAAACAUAGCUAAAAAUUUAUGUGUUGGGCAACUUAUGCGAAAUGGCUACAAAGUUGUUUUCGAAGAUGUGGAUUGCACUAUUUAUGAUAAGAAUGAUAAUGAACAGCUCGUUGCAUCGGUUCCGAUGGAGGCAAAUCAAACUUUCCCCUUUCAAUGCGUUGUGGAAAUGAAGUUUCUUUGAAGGUUGAUGUUGUGCAAGACUCUUGGUUGUGGCACAAAAGGUUCUGUCAUUUAAAUUUCCAGGGGCUAAAGCUUCUCCAAAAGAAAAGCAUGGUGAAAGGAUUACCAGAAAUUGAAGCAACAACUGAUGCUUGUGAAGGGUGCGUCAUGGGCAAGUAGCACCGUAAUUCAUUCCUAAGUCAAAGCACGUGGAGAGCAAAGGCACCGCUGGAACUUGUGCAUACUGAUAUUUGUGGCAAAAUGCCAACUCCUUCCUUAAGCCAGCACAUGUACUUUCUCACGUUUAUUGAUGAUUUUUCGAGGAUGACAUGUGUUUACUUUUUGAAGGAGAAAUAAAAAACUUUCAUUGUCUUCAAACAAUUAAAGCUUUAGUAGAAAAGCAAAGUGGUUGCAGCAUCAAAAUCAUUCGAAGUGACAGAGGAGGCGAAUAUACAUCUCAUGAAUUUGAAGACUACUGCAAAGAUGAAGGCAUUUGGAAGCAAUUGACAACAAGGUAUAGUCCACGACAAAAUAGGAUUGUCGAAAGAAAGAAUCGAACAAUCGUGGAGAUGGCUAGAUCUAGGAUGAAUGAGAAAGGGCUACCAAAAAGUUUUUGGGGAGAAGCUGUGUAUACAACAGUAUACAUUCUUAAUAGAUGUCCAAAGCCGUAAAGAACAAAACUCCAUUUGAAGCUUGGAGCGGAUUCGAACCUUCGGUGAGUCAUUUCAAAUUUUUUGGCUGCAUUGUUAUGCUCAUAUUUUUGCUGAAAAGAGAACUAAGCUUGAUGAAAAAAACCAAAAAUGUAUCUUUCUUGGCUAUUGUUCGAGCACCAAAGGUUAUAGGUUUUAUAAUGUUGAAACUAAGAAAUUGACUGUGAGUAGAGAUGACAUUUUUAAUGAAAAAGCUUGGAAUGAAAAUAAAGUUCAGGAGAUGCCAUGUGCAAUUGUGUAAGAAGAAGGUGAAAUUCCAAGAGAGCAGAAAGUCAUGCCUCAGACUCCAGUAGUUGCCGGAAGAAGAAGUUCAAAUGAUGCUGGAAGCAGUUCGAAUGCAGAACCUGUUUCUCCGAACUACUCUUCAUCAGAAAGUCCUCCAUUAAGAACUCGAAGUUUGAGAGAAGUGUACAAGACUUGCAAUUUCGUUGGUGUAGAGCUAGAAAGCUUUAAAGAGGCACAAAAUCAUGAAAUAUGGGUGAAAGCCAUGAAAGAAGAGAUCAGAAUGAUCAAGAAAAAUCAAACAUGGGAGUUGGUUGAUUAUCCACAAGAUAGAGAUGUCAUACACGUGAAGUGGAUUUUCAAGAUGAAAUUCAAUCAAGAUGGGAGCAUUCAAAAGCACAAAGCUAGGCUCGUGGCAAGAGACUUUACUCAAAAGCCAGGUAUUGAUUUUUCUAAAACCUUUGCUCCAGUUGCACGGUUGGAAACUAUUAGAACUUUGAUUGCUCUUACUGCUCAAAAGAAUUGGUUGAUUUAUCAACUUGAUGUGAAGUCUGCAUUUUUGAAUGGAGUGUUGGAAGUAGAAGUUUACGUUAAACAACCCCCAGGUUUCAUGCUUGAAGGGGGAGAAGACAAAGUUUACAAGCUAAAAAAAGCCCUUUAUGGGUUAAAGCAAGCACCUCGAACAUGGUAUGUUGAAAUUGAUAAAUACUUUGCCAAGCAAGGUUUUUAAAAGAGUCAAAGUGAGCCUACACUCUAUGUUUUGAAGAGAGGAGCUUCCAUUCUCAUUGUUUCCUUAUAUAUGGAUGACUUAGUCUUCACUGGAAAUGAUCAAGAAAGAUAUGAUGAGCACCUAUGAGAUGAGUGAUCUAGGUUUGCUUCAUUAUUUUUUGGGAAUUGAAGUUUCCCAAACCAAAAAUGGGAUAUUUAUUUCUCAAAAGAAAUAUGUAGAAAAUCUGCUCAAGAAGUUCAAUUUGUCUGACUGCAAAACAGUAGCUACUCCUUUGAUGCCGAAUGAAAAAUGAAGAAAUGUGAUGAUGCCGGAUAUCAUGUUUGCUUCAAGUAUGCUUUCAAGAUACAUGGAGGAACCAAGUCAGCUUCACUUUGGUGCCGGAAAAAGGGUGUUAAGAUAUGUGCAAGGCACGCUUGACCAUGGAAUUAUGUACAAGGCUGAAGCACGAAGUUCAAGGCUUAUCAGGUACACUAAUAGUGAUUGGGCUAGAUAUCUAGGAAGAACUAUCUAGUUAGAACUCUCUAGUACUUUGUAUUCUCUUUAUAUAGCCUUUGGCAUAUCAUUUUGUAUCAAGAGAGUUACAAUAAGAAGUAAUACAAGAGCUUUGCUGUAGCAACUCAGAUUUCCUAUAAACUUGUUAAGUAUUUCCAUCCCUCUACACUUCCUACAUGCCAAGCUGAAAUGAAAAUGUCUCCCAAGGUCUAAGUAAAUUCACGAAUCACAUACAUACAGAUACUUGUGAAAGGACUUAUAUUACAAACAAACAAAAUAUUUAGAAUCUGCAUCAAAACAAAAGAACCAACCGGUGCAUGAGCUUUUCUCCAAACGGGAAUAGAGGCAUGGUCCCCAUUAAAAGGGUCUCCGUUGAAGAAGUUAGGGAGCACAACAAUGAACCCAGCAGCUGCAAUUUUGUCUGCAAGGUUCCUUUCGAAGAGAAGGGCAGGUCGCAUUAGUUAAACGUAUAUGACAAUGUGACAAUCUCGCAAAAUUAAAAGUGAUACAGGUAAAAACCACAACUGUUCUUCAAAACAACAACUUCUGGUGUUGGAAACUAGAAGGGCCCGACCAAAUAUCUUUACAAUUGUACAGAGCUGACACUAAAAAAUGGAAAUGAAAAGAGAAGGGCAGAUGGCAUUAGUUAAAUGUAUAUGACAAUAUUACGAAAUUAAUAGUGAUACAAGUGAAAACCACAACUGUUCUUCAAAACAAGAACUUCUGGUGUUGGAAACUAGAAGGACCAACUAUCAUUUAUAAUUGUACAGAGUUGAUACUAAAAAUACAGGUGGGGAUCUUGAAAGCGUCACGAAAAGGGCAUCAGAACAGGUAAUUGAUGUAAAAUCUGAUACAAAAUGUAGUUACAUUAGACCUAUUAUAGCCUUUUUUUCCCUUGAGGAUUAAUGUAACUUUGAGUAUUUAAUUUCAAAAGUGUUCUCCAAGUCAUCCAAGAAAAAGAGACUCGAAGAACUUAUCUGCCAAGCUAUUCAAAACAAAUGAAUUAGCUGUAGAAAACAGAUAUGGGAAUGAGUCAUACCUUGCCUUUGGAGCUUCAUACCCUCCAUGGCCAAACAAAAUUUAACAUUAACAGGUGGUUUUCUUAUAGAACAGCAAUGCAAUCAACUGUAUAGCAGAGACAUAGUUUGAAGGAUCGAAUAUCAAUUACGCUAUUCGAAUUCCCAAUUGGAAGCAAAAUGGGAAAGAAAGAACAACAAUCAUGCAAAAACAGAAGAAAGAAAGAAAAGAAAUUGGGGAACAAGUAAAUAGUUGAUCAAUUAAUCAAACAUAUGCACAAAGCCAAAAGGAAAAGGAAAACGUCAGAACUGAUUCCUCCAUCAAUUAAUCAAACAUAUGCAAGUGACAAAGAUUUUAGAUAGACGAGCCAGUAGCCCAUUACUAACACACCGUAACACAGAUAGUAAAUACAUACGACCUCGAUAUAAUUAAAAGUAGAACCACUCAACAUAUAUCAGUUAUCCGACGUGAGAUCUUGCACCCAUUAUUUCACACAAGCUAAAAACACACACAGACAACUGAAACUCACAAACUCCGAUCAUAAGCUAAACAAAAAGCGGAAACUUUAGAAACAAGUAAAAAAAGAAAGACUUUUGGAGUGCCAGUGGUGGGUAAAGUACCAAAAGCAUCAUGGACGAGAAGAACGGAAAGCUUGGAGUCAGGGGAGCCAGUGACAUAGGUAUCGAAACCACCGAGCUUUUCGACGUGGCCAGAGCCGCUGGACGGGUUCAGGGCUGGUGGAUUUGAGCAUCACUCAGAGCUUGCCAUGAUUUCUUUCUUUUUUUUUUCUCUUAAUUCACAAACACAAACACACUCCAGUAUUUAUCAAAUAUAGCCAAAUAUUAGUCUUUAAUUUAAAAAAUGUCAAUUUUUAUAAAAAUUUUCAUAUAUAUCCAUAAUUUUACUUAAAUAGACACAAAUACCCUAAAAUUUUAAAAUCAAAUAAACUAAAAAAUAAAAACCCUAUAUGAUAAAUUUCUGACGGCAAAAGCUAAGAAAUAGUGGAGACAUACUGAAGGCUUCGCUAUUGGUUGUGUAGCCCUAAACAACAGUAUAGAUGGUUAAUUUUUUUUCAUUUUUCCUCAUCUACGAUUUCUUUUUAUUUUUUUAAUUCAUUCCAUGUUUCAAUCGGUAUCUUUUUUUUGGUUCUUUGGUUUCGCUGAUUUUGGGAGAGAAAUAGAUAAUACUUACAUGUGUUUUUGCAGUUUUGUGGUUCUUUGCUAUCGGUCUGUAUGUAUUUGGGUACAUUUUUAUUUGUUCUCAAGUGUUUAUGCAAUGUAGUUUUUAUGUAAAUUGCCUAAUGUAACUUUAACAUCAUUGCUUAUGUAGUUUUUAUCCAAAUUGCUUCUGCAUUUGAACAUAAUUGCUUCCGUAGUUUUUAUGCAGGUUGCCUUCGUAACUUAUGCAGCAGACCAGUAUCUACUUCUCUUACAAAUCAUUUGUUUGCAAAUUGCUUUUGCGUGUAAAGAAUUAUCCUACCAUCAAUUACGCAAAGAAGACAUGAUAGGAGGAAAAAAAAAGAGAAUCCCAUUACAUGAAGAAGAAAAAUCAACUCGGAAGUGUUCAAAGUGUGGUUCAAAUGACCAUUAUAAAUAAACUUCUAGGAAUCCGAUUCAACUUCAUCCUACUUUGUUGAACUCUUUUAAAUUUGGAGCGUAAUGAAUAAAUUUUUAUUUGGAUUGUUGUAUUGUUUAUUUUGGCUGUACAAUCCUUUAAAUUUGAGACAAGUAAAAGUUAAUUUAUUUUUAUUUGUUCAUUAUGGUAGUUCACUUGUUGCUAUAUAUAUAUAUAUAUGUUUUAUGUUAAUUGCUAGCUGGAUAAGAACAAGAAAUCUGGCCAAGUAAGAUUCUAUUUAUUAAAAAAAAUAAAAUUGAGAGAAACCUAUGGUCUUUGUUUGACAAAGAAAAUUAAAAAAAAAUGAGAAAAAUAUUGGUGGGACCAACAUUUGAUUAAAGUACAAGAAAUUUUUUAAUCAACAACUAUUCACAUAUAUUGAGAGUAUUUGUAUCUAUUUAAGUGAGAUUUUAGAUACAAUUCAAAGUUUUUAUAAAAAUGACAUUUUUGAAAUUAAGAGUGAAUUUUUUACUAUUAUUGAUGAAUUCCCAACACAAUCUGUCAGUGUUUGAUUGAGCUAGGACAACUAAGGCUAUAUUUAAAGAGGGAAAAUAAUUCUCCGGUAAAUAAAAUAUACGGAAAUUUCAGAAUUUGAUAUUUGUUAUUUAUUCAAGGGAGUUUCAUGAAAAAUGACUUAGUGUAACAUCCCACAUCAUCCAAGGGAGUGGAUCCUAUAAGCCUUAUAUGUAAAUUUCUAUCUCUUCCUAGCACGAAGGUAUUUUGGAAGCUCACUGCUUAUGGUUCCAUCGAAACUCCGAAGUUAAGUGAAUUCGUACGAGAGCAAUUUCAUGAUGGGUGACCCACUGGGAAGUUCUCGUGUGAGUUCCCAGAAACAAAACCGUGAGGACAUGGUCGGAGCCCAAAGCGGAGAAUAUCGUGCUACGGUGGAGUUGAGCCCGGGAUGUGGUGGGGGCCCUUGCCGGGAUGUGACACUUAGGUUAAGUUUAUUUUAACCAAAAACCAUACUAUAACUUUAUUUAAUGAAAAAUAAUAAAUUUUAAUAAAAAAAUCCUUAAAUUUUAAUAAAAAUGACAAAAAAAACUAAAAUUUUAAUGAAAAAACACAAUUUUAAUAAAUAAAAAGAAAAAAAAAAUACUUGACGCGCUGGACUCGCGCAUCUAUAACAAACAUUAUUUAUGAAACUGAAUACUAUUUAUGAAACUGAAAGAUAAUACACUAUUUAUUGAUCUACUUUCAUAAAUAGUGCCUAGUUCUUGGUCCAUUUUCAUAUAUAGUGCCUAGUUCUUGGUCACGUUUCAUAAAUAAUGCUUAGUUAGUAGGUCUAGUUUCAUAAAUAACGUAUAAUAGUUGAUACAAUUUCAUAAAUAUUACCUAGUUAUUAGUCCACUUUCAUAAAUAGUGCCUAGUUCUUGAUCAUGUUUCAUAAAUAGUGUUUAGUUCUUAGUCCAGUUUCAUAAAUAAUGUAUAGUCUAGUUUCAUAAAUAGUUUCCACAUCUUGGCUUAGUUUUAGAAAUAAUGGCUAAUUCUUGGUUUCGUUCCAUAAAUAGUGUCUACUUAUUGGUCUAGUUUCAUAAAUAAUGUCUACUUAGUGGUCAAGUUUUAUAAAUAAUGUCUCAUUCUUGGUUCAGUUUCAUAAAAUUUGAAACUUAGACCCUGUUUGGUCCUAUAAAAGCACCAAUUGCGCUGAAAACGAUGAGCCAAGUUGUGACGACCCGUCCCGAAUUAUAAUGCAUUUUAUCCCCGAUACCGUGGAAAUGUCGAUUUUACCCUUGAGCGUUGGGUUGUGAAUGUAUAAAUGGACUAAGGAAAUUGACCAAUUAUCUCAUUUCCGACUUCUUUGGACCCAAUUGAAAUUUGGGAUUGUUUUGGAUGAUUUUUAGCCUAUAAUUGGUGGUCCAAUUAGAGCUUUAGGAUUGUAUAUGGGUGCCCAAUCUGGAUCAGGACACACACACACACACAUUCACACAUGUUCACCUUCUCGUACUCUCUCUCUCUCUUGGUCUCGAACACUCUCUCUCUUCGUACACCUAAGACCAGCCAUAAAUCCCUUCAAAUCGUCGCAGAUCGAGUUAGCGGACGUUACUUCCGGGUUCCUUGCAAGCUUAGGAGUCGAACUAUACCUUAAUUUGGAGGAAAGAUCUCGGGAGCUCGAGAACCAGUGAGCUCCGACGAGGUGCCCUGUUGCUCCGUCGUGAUCGUGGGUGUUUCUCGGAGUUUUAAAGUUAUAGAGGGUCUUAAAACAACUUUACGAAGUUGUUAGAGAAGUUUUGGAAGGUUUUGGACAUUGGGACACUCAAGUUCAACGAGUUGCAGACUUAGCCGAUUUUUCAAGAAAUUUUCCGGCCAGUUUCCAUUUGUUUUAGGAUGUAAAAGUGGUAAGAACUUGUUUCUCUUGUUCAGAGCUUCAUUUUGGUACAAAUUUCAUGGAAUUUGAUUGAGAAAUGGUGAAGAUAUUGAAGUUCAAAGUUUUUCCAAAAACCGGCGAGUGCAGCGGCUGCCGGCGUCGGAAUUUGGUGAACCAUUGGAGAAGAAGGCGAAUAUUCCAUCAAUUUGAUGGAAUAUGCUAACGGCGUCAGGUAAAACUAACGGUAUAUACUGUCAUUUAACAAAAUAUUCUCUAACGCCGUUAGGGAAUCCGUCAGUGUGCCAAGCACGUGCCUGCGCAUGGGCGGUGCGUGUGGCCUUGCCUUGGCCGGCGCGUAAGGGCAUGUGGGAACAUAGAAUUUUUUUCCAAAUAUGGGAAUAUUCGUGGUGUCGAGUAGGCCACGAUGGUAUAUUCAAACACCUCAAUUGAGCAACGUAUGAGAAGUUAUUACAUAAUUUUGGUUAUAUGCUUAAAAUAACGUUAGAAUAGUUGUUUUGCAUAUAGGUGAGACGUUUCCAGAGGACGAGCACAGUCAAGUGAGACUUGGGGGCUACAACUCUUCCACAUAUCAGUGAGUAGGCUUUUGAUUUUCUAUAUAAGCAUAUAUGCUUUACAUUCUUCCCAUAAAGCUUAUUUAAAUGAUUUUAUAUGUUGAAAUGCAUGUCAAAUGUUUUAUAAUUAAUGUUGAUGCACAAAACCGGAGGUCUUGGAACAACGUAAAUCCGACCGUGAAUCUACAAGUAAUGUAAAUAACACAAGAUGUAUCGUGGUUCACCCCAAGGUUUGGGCUACGUCUACAUUGAUUGUAUUGUAUUUCUCUAAGAAGUGCGGGAGAGAGAGAGAGCUCUGGGAGUAAGAGUGUUGAGAGGGGUGAGAAGGCUCCAGAAAUGGCCUCUUUCAAUUAUGAGGGUGAGGGGUCCUUUUAUAGAAUAAGGACUCCUCACUUAUUACAUAUUUGCCCCUUCCUUUAUCACAUAAUUACAUUUAAGUCCCCUGAGUAUUUAUACGAGAUUUAAAUACGAGGCCCUAAAUAUGGUAUAAACAGUAGUCCCCCAAGUCUUCAGUCAAGAGAGUCUUUUGGCUGGAGACUUGAAAUUCAGUCCAUAUGUGGGUCGAAGUAACUAGAUGUUGUCUUGAACUGAUGCUUGAUAUGAGGCGGUGCUCAAUCUGCAAUGAUGCUCAACUAGAAGUAGCAUAUGCUGCGAGGCUGCUCGGCUCGUGGCUUAUGUUGCCUUGGUUGGCUCGGCUUGUGGCGUUGAAGGUGAGGGAGUCCCUUUUAUAGAAUAAGGGCUCGCUCCUCAAUACAUGAAUGAUGGGCUAGAGUUGAUGCUCUCUAAUGAUGGUGAGGGAGUCAUUUUUAUAGAAUAAGGGCUCGCUCCUCAAUACAUAAGCGAUGGGUUAGGAGUGAUGCUCGCGGCGAGGCGGUUCCUUAGCUGGAGGCAUUGCUCUCUAAUGAAAGUGAGAGAGUCCCUUUUAUAAAAUAAGGGCUCAUUCCUCAAUACAUAAGUGAUGCUCGCGGCGAGGCGGUUGCUCAAUUGGCGGCGUUGCUCUUUAAUGAAGGUGAGGGAGUCUCUUUUAUAGAAUAAGGGCUCGUUCCUCAAUACAUUAGUGAUGGGCUAGGAGUGAUGCUCGCGGUGAGGCGGUUGCUCAGCUGGCGGCGUUGCUCUCUAAUGAAGGUGAGGGAGUCCCUUUUAUAAAAUAAGGGCUCGCUCCUCAGUACAUGAAUAAUGGGUGCUCUCUAAUGAAAGUGAAGGAGUCCCUUUUAUAGAAUAAGGGCUCACUCCUUAAUACAUAAAUAAUGGGCUAAGUCCCCCAAGUAUUUUUCAUGAGGCCUAGUUGAGGCCCAAUAUAUGGUACAUAAUGUAGUCCCCCAAGUCUUCGGUCAAUAGAGUUUGUUGGCUGGAGACUUCAAAUUGAAUCCAUGUAUGGGCCGAAAUGGCGGUUGUUCGGAGACGGUAUUUGUAUACCUUGCACUGAAGCUUUGUAGGUUAAGCUUUGCAAGUGAAGCUUUGAAGCUGGAGCUCUGUAAAUGAAGUUUUUGAAGCUAGAGCUUUUGUAAAUGAAGCUUUUGAAGUUGAUUGACAUGAGUGAUGCUCAUGAAUGUUUAAUUGACAUGAGUGAUGCUCAUGGAUGUUGACAUGAGUGAUGCUCAUGAAUGUUGACAUAAGUGAUGCUCAUGAAUGUUUAUGUAUGAUUGAUAUGAGUGAUGCUCAAGAAUGUUUAUGUAUGAUUGACAUGAGUAAUGCUUAUGUAUAAUAUGAAGUACUGGGCGUACUUUUGAUCACCUGGUUGGUGGCAUGAAGGAAAGUACGAGUUGUACAUUUCAUUACCUGGUUGGUGGUAUAAAUGGCUAGUUGCCAAAUGAUAUCAAAGUACGGGUUGUACAUUUCAUCACCUGAUUGGUGGUAUGAAUGGCUAGUUGCCAAAUGAUAUUAGAGUACGGGUUGUACAUUUCAUCACCUGGUUGGUGGCAUGAAUGGCUAGUUGCCAAAUGAUAUUAGAGUACGGGUUGUACAUUUUAUCUCCUGGUUGGUGGUAAUAGCGGUAUGUUGCCGAAUAAUUUUUUGUAGUGCUGGGCGUACUUUUGAUCACCUGGUUGGUGCUAUUUUGGUCUUAUGGGCCUUCGCCCUCCACACAACAUGCCAGCCCAUUUAUUUUGGGCUUUGCCCUUUUUUUAUUUUUUUUAUUUUUUAUUUUUUUAUCAUUACCCUCUGAUAGGGUUUAUACAUAUUACCCUCUGAUGGGGUUUAUACAGAUGUCUCCGAAAGAUAAGAAAAAUAAAUUACAUUUUUUCAGCAUGUUAAUGAGCAUCUUCUGGUCCAACAGGAAGUGGAGACGGGAAACCUUGGUGGCCAUCUUCUUAUCUUUAAUCAUGUUAUCCCGUGGGAUAAUGAAGUAGUGGAAUAGUGGAGCAUAUUCUUUUCAGCUUUUCCUUUUCUACUUUCUGCUUUUCUUUCUGAUUUUCUUUCCGUUUCUUGACCUUGAUGAAUAUGGCAGGCAAGGAAUGAUAAUAGAUUUUAUCUCCUCUUUUGCUUUCUUCUUUUCACUUUCCUCUCUUUCUGUCUCUGAGCUGUCAUGCAUGUGCACCUAAUCUGUAGGUUGGCCACGAUGGUAAUGCUGUGUUGGUACUGCUGGAAAGGAAGGAGCCGAUCACGUUCUUUGCUUGACCAAAGCUUUUCAAACACUGCUUUUACCGUCCCCAUUCCUGUUGCACGCUCCCACACUGCUGCUCAACCUUGACGAAGCUAGAUCUCUCUUUAGGGCCCUAAGCUCCUCAGCCGACGCCAUCGUCUUUUCCACAGGGCAGAUCCAUGUAUCAUUGUCAUGGGAUUGAUUCACGUUCUAACCCAUAUUCCAUUUUCGUAUUUUUCGAGCCAUUAUUUGAUUCGGCACCGAUUCAAGGAAGCUUCAAUGGCAGCAAGAUGAGCAUCCAUGGUGGAGAGAUGCGAAGUCGUGGUUUAUCGAGAAAUAGUGAACGCGGUCGUAUCUGGGUCCAAAGCUACAUUCAUGACAUGGCUCACGUACAGCCUACCAUUCAAAACCUGUGAACUGAGUCAGCACCGAGUCCAGUUUCGACUCGUCACUCCCGACACCCCCCUCACCCAGGUCAUUUCCCUUGACUUGGUGUGAACUCGGAGUCCGCCAUGGUCAAAGGCAAGCUCCAACUCAUGGAAAAGGCCAAGCGUAUUUUAACGGUCCGGCUUGGCAGCUUGGUCGCGGGAUUCGAAGACAAAGAGGAAGAAAAUGGUGGGUCCGACUUGCCGUUAGAGUCGGGCGAUGAGCUGGAGACGAUUCUGCCAAACGGGCUCGGGUUCGGAUCUGGCAGAGAAAAAGAUUGACGAAGAUGAUGAGGAUUUCGAUGAUGAGAUGGUGGAUAGGGAAUCGGGUUUGAGGGUCCGACAGAGACCUGAAAUUGAGUGACAAGAACUACGAGACACCGUAAGCAGAUCAAUACCACUACCUAUGAACUUCUCCACAGUUUCUUCCAUCAAUUGGAUCUGCUCUGCGAUUCUUCAAACCAAAGCACUCUAGACCUGACGAAUCUCCGGAGCAGCUUUCUCGAUCUCGUCUGAUAAGUUUCGAGUCCUGCAAGAGUCGGAUGGGGAUCGAAAAAUGUUUAAGAGCUUGAGCUUGAAUCAGUUUUGCAUUGCACUUGCAGAAAGCUAUGGAGAAGAAGAAUCGAAUUUCUAGAGAGAGUGAGUUAGUUCAGUUUUGGGUUUUUUGUGGAGAUCAAGAAAGGGGAUGUCUUGAGAGAUUUAGUGGGUUUGUUUCUCACACUUCAGUUCUCUAAAUUUCUGCCAAAAAGUAGAGAGAGGGAAAGAAUGUGACUGUUUCCAUCGAUGUUACCGUGACCGAGAGCUGAAGCGGAAGACAUGGGUUUUGCAGUAACUGUGUAGGUGUUUGGUUAUUGGGUUUUUGUAGAUUCACGGUGGAGGUGAAAAAUUGAGAGAGAACCGACAUAGCUUUUCGUGUCGAUUCCCACAGACGACGCCAAAUGUUGAUGCACAAAACCGGAGGUCUUGGAACAACGUAAAUCCGACCGUGAAUCUGCAAGUAAUGUAAAUAACACAAGAUGUAUUGUGGUUCACCCCAAGGUUUGGGCUACGUCCACACUGAUUGUAUUGUGUUUCUCUGAGAAGUGCGGGAGAAAGAGAGUUCUAGUAGUGAGAGCGUUGAGAGGGGUGAGAAGGCUCCAGAAAUGGCCUUUUUCAAUUGUGAGGGUGAAGGGUCCUUGUAUAGAAUAAGGACUCCUCAUUUAUUACAUAUUUGCCUAUUCCUUUAUCACAUAAUUACAUUUAAGUCCCCUGAUUAUUUAUACGAGAUCUAAAUACGAGGCCCUAAAUAUGGUCUAAACAAUUAGAAUAUGCAUUUAGUAGUUAUAUAUGUUAUUGUUGACGUUGCGGACGCUCAGGUAAGUUCCAGGUGAGUUUAUAGAUGGUGGAUGUGAGUUGCAUGGUUAUGAUUACAAUUUAUGCAUUUAGAGCUCAUAAACCUGCACCCCAGUGUUAGUGCUCCCGCCCGUGGCCAGGGCACAAUCCUUCACGUGAUGUUCAUCUCCCGCACCGCAUGCUCACCUUGGAUCCAAGUUAGGUGCACAGUCCUGUCGUACAGACCACUAUAGGUGGUUCUGACUCGUAAUUAACCCGCGAUUAUUCGCACAGCCUUCACGUGAUCGUAGCACUUGAGCGUAUUUAUUUACACCUAGUCCUAUCGUACAGACCACUCUAGGUGGUUCUGACUCGUGUGCAGGCAUAUUUGAUAGCUAUAGAUUCAGCUGUACAGGCCACAAAUAGGUGGAUCCGGUUGACAUAUUACUUUUCAUUGAUUUACUUCACCUGGUUUACUUAUUUCAUUAUGUUGAGAUAUUUGGCAUGGCAUACAUGUGGAUUUGGCUAUUUCAAGUAUGGUUUCGAUAUAGAUAUGUAUUCUAUUUUCUGGAAAAUUAUACGGGUUUUACGGCGAGGGGUUAUUACUUGUUGAUGCACAAAAUCAGUGAGGACAUGGUACAACAGAAAGUGUUAAGUUUGUGACCUUCGCUAGAUUCCUCCGGUCACUAGUGUGGAUAAGUAUGUAAAUGGAUAGAGACAGAAAAGCAAACACAAGAUGUACAUGGUUCACCCAGAUUGGCUACGUCCACGGAGUAGAGGAGUUCUCAUUAAUUGUGAAGGGUUUACACAAGUACAUAGAUUCAAGCUCUCCUUUUGUAAGUACUAGUAAAUGAUUUAGUACAAAUGACAUUCGAAAAUAUUGUGAAAGAAUGAUCUCCAUUUAUAGAAGAGAGUUUCUAGUUUCAUUCUGACAUUGACACGUGUCGUGUUGUGAUUGGCUUUUGAUGUUGACAUGUGUCGCGCUAUGAUUGGCUUCUGAUGUUGACACGUGUCGCACUGUGAUUGGCCUCUUGGUUGGAAGGAAACUCUUCUGGGUCCUUGAUGGUAUAACGUUGACUGGUGCUCAGUAGUUUUGGGAUUGGUCAAGUAUGGUACAAACAGUGCUCCCCUAAGUUCCCGAGUGAGGGAAACUCCUCGGUUGGGGACUUGCAAGAUCCAAGCCAUUGAGUAAUCACGAAACUUCUAAGUAAGUAUCAUUUUCACUUGCCUUAUCUGUCUCAUACGUAGAUGUGGCAUCUUCUCUGGAAGUACUUUUCCUCCAUCCAGGGGUGGUUUCUUUAACCGAUGAAGGUGCACAAGGUAAUGUAUCAAUUUCACUUGAAGCUUACUUGUAGUUUUGGGCUUAGUCAAGUGCGAUACAAAACCCUAUAAUAGGAGUCCCAAGUUGCCGAGCUAGGAGAUUUGCUGAAAGAGGUAACAGACAAGGUAAGCAAUCAGACUUCCAAACAAGCAACCUGGAUUGAAGGUUCGACUUCGGCUUCCGGUUGAUUGUUCUCAUUCUCUUUGUGUCGUAAAUAGCAACAAGGAUCAGGAAAAGCAAAUGGAGAAGAAAUGAUACGAGAUACUUUUGCUUUUGAAGAAGUAACUUUCCACAUGCUUAUUCUUGAACUGGGCUGGAGGGUUUUCUGGUUUCCUUCAGAGUAUAAGGCCGACUCAAGAAUUUGAGGGUCAAAACAAGUCCAUUAAAUUAAGAGUGCAUUCGACCUUGAUGAUAUGGGAUACUUUUGCUGUUGACGAAGUAAUAAAUGAAUCGGCACGUGUUCUGUUGCGCUUGUCUCCACAUGUUUUCUUGUAUCCUUCUCACUUACCCUAUAUGUUCCUCAGGCAGAUGUGGUAUCUUUUCUGGAAGCAUAAGAUGUUGAAGAUGAGUACUCGAGAGCAAUGUCAGGUAAGUAAUCAGGCAAGGCGUUCUAGGCAGUCAAUUCCUGACUGUAAGCUUGAUUUCAAGUGCUGAUUGAUUGCUCUUUUUCUCAUUGUCUUGCAGGUAAGAACAAGGGCAAAGGAAAAGACAGGGAAAAAGCAUGAUAUGGGAUACUCUUGCUUUUGACCGUUAUGAUAUGAGAUACUCUUGCUCUGGUGUGGCUGGUUUGCAUAGGUAUUAUUUGGGGGGAAGAAAGUUGAGUAUUUCGAGAGGCUUCGUUAGGAGUGCCCUCUCAGAUAUGAGGAAGGGUUGAGCAUUUUUGCAGGUUUGCUUGUCCGUGGAGGAUGAAGGUCGACAUAUAUAGGAGUCUCCCUAACAACAAGUAGUAAUGCUAUUUCUUUACCCUUCUUGGUCGUAGCAAUGUAGUUGGAGCUGCAAGCUUCACGUGUUUUAACUUUGUCAGAGCACUUUGAAAACGUGGUAUGUGGUAUCUGGAAAGCUGAUGUUGUGUGUGAAGAUUGCAGACAAGCUUUAUCCAAGGAAAUCUGGCUCUCGAAGUUCGGAGAGCGAUGCCUCUACGAUUUUUAAACAAGUAAUCCUAUCGGGAAUCUGGCUCUCGAGAUUCGAAGAACGGUGCCUUUUCGAUUUUUGAGAAAGCAAUCUUGUUGGGAGUCUGGCUCUUGAGAUUCAAAGAACGGUGCCUCUUCGAUUUUUGAGAAAGUAAUAAUGCUAUUCAUUUACCCUUCUUGGUUAUAGGAAUGUAAUGGGAGCUGCAAGCUUCACAUGUUUUAACUUUGUUAGAGCACUUUGAAAAAGUGGUUUGUGGUAUCUGGAAAACUGAUGUUACGUGUGAAGAUUGCAGACAAGCUUUAUCCAAGGAAAUCUGGCUCUCGAAGUUCGGAGAGCGGUGCCUCUUCGGUUUUCGAACAAGCAAUCCUGUCGGGGAUAUGGCUCUCGAGAUUCAGAGAACGGUGUCUCUUCGAUUUUUGAGCAAGUAAUCUUGUUGGGAGUGUUUUCUCGAAUGUGAGUAAAGGUUAGGCAUUUUUGCCAGUCUGUCUUGCCACGGAGCACGAAGAUUGACACAUAUUGGGACUUUCUAGUUAUCAAGCAGUGGUGUUGUUCCUUUACCCUUGUGGUAAUAGUAGGGUAGCUGGAUCUUCAGAAUUUAUGUGUUUAAACUUUGUCAGAAAUAUUUGGCAAAGUUAUAUGUGGUACCCGAUGAGCUGAUAUUGCGUGUGGAAAGUGGUGCCUCUUCGAAAUCUGGAGAAUGGUGCCUCUUCGGAAUCCGAAGAGUGGUGCCUCUUCUAUUUUUUAAUCAAUGACCUUGUUGCCCUUUCUUUUAUAAGGGCACCAAUUGUGUGCAAAAAGUACAUUCAGAGAGUUAUUGCUUGUAGGAAUUUUCCCCUUACUUAAAAGAUUUAUUACACCUCAUUUCUCCUUCAUCAUUUCUAAAAAUGUUUGGCCCAUCCGACCGUCGUUUUGACUUGAACUUUGGUAAAGAGGCAGCCAUGCCUUCUCAAGACAAUAUAUGGCGCCCAUCCUUCUUAUCCGCUACUGGUCCUCUUACCGUUGGGGACUCUGUGAUGAAGAAUGAUAUGACCGCUGCGGUGGUGGCCAGGAACCUUCUCACUCCCAAAGAUAACAGACUACUUUCCAAAUGGUCUGAUGAGUUAGCUGUUAAGGAUUCUCUAGCUUUCAGUGUUCAGUGUGUUGGUUAUGUGCCUAAUAUGGCCCAACACCUAUUUGCUCGAACCCGCCAAGUUGAAUCAUUGGCGGCUGAAGUGAUAAGUCUCAAACAGGAGAUCAGAAGGCUCAAGCAUGAGAAUAAACAGUUGCACAAGUUCGCACAUGACUAUGCUACAAACAUGAAGAGGAAGCUCGACCAGCUGCAGGAAUCUGAUGGUCAGAUUUUACUUGAUCAUCAGAGGUUUGUGGGUUUGUUCCAAAGGCAUUUAUUGCCUUUGUCUUCUGGGCCUGUACCGCGUAAUGAAACUCCAAAUGAUCAACCUUUGAUUCCUUCUCCUUCUGGGGUUCUACCUAAUACUGAGGCUCCGAAUAAUCACUCUCUGGUGCCUCCUCUUUCUGGGGCUCUGCCGACUGCUGAGACUUCUCCUGAGCAACCUUUAUGAAGGCUCCCUCUUGUUUGUUUAUUUUGAUUCAUGUAUAUGUUUGUAACUUAUUGGAAAUAUUAAUAAACAAGCUUUGCUUCAUUUCAAUGUAUUGUGUUAAAUACACCAAGGCAUUCUUCACUAAGUUAUUUGAAUUUUUCCUUUUAUUGAAGCUUGUAUGUUGAAGCUUUGUGAGUGAAGCAUGUAGGUUGAGGUAGUUCUCCCUUAAUUUCCCGAGUGAGGAAAACUUCUUGUUUGGAGACUUGAAAAAUCCAAGUCACUGAGUGGUCGUGAGACUUGCGAGUAUUAAGGUGCAGUAGCAUAUGGUAGGAGUCCCCCAAGUCUCCGAUCGAGGGAGUUGACGAAUGAGGCAUUUCCUUUCUAAGUUGUAGCCCAAAACUCCUUCUUCAUGUAUAUUUAUUAUGAAAAUUGUUAGGCCCAAAAAAGAUGAGGCCUAGGCAAUUUUUUUUUUCGAAUUUUUGAAUUUCCGAAUUUUUGAAUUUUCGAAUUUUCGAAUUUUCGAAAUUCCAAAAAAAAAAAAAAUAUAUAUAUAUAUAUAUUUUAAAGCUUUGGUGUUGAAGCUUUGAGGUUGAAGCUUUGUUAGGCACCAUGAAUUGAUUUUGCUUCACACUAUCUUGAUCAAGAUAAAGUGACGCUUUUGGCUUUUGUGGGUCAAGCUUUUGUAGGUGAAGCUUUUGUGGGUCAAGCUUUUGUGGGUCAAGCUUUUGUGUUGAAGCUUUUGUGGGUAAAGCUUUUGUGUUGAAGCUUUUGUAGGUGAAGCUUUGGAGUUGAAGCUUUGUAGGUGAAGCUUUGGAGUUGAAGCUUUUGUUGGGUAACAUGAAUUGAUUUUGCUUCACACUAUCUUGAUCAAGAUAGUGUGAAGCUUUUGAGAAUUUGUAGUUGUCCUUCAUUGAUGAAGCUUUUGUUGGUGAAGCUUUGAAGUUGAAGUUUUGUAGGUGAAGCUUUGGAGUUGAAGCUUUGUAGGUGAAGCUUUGGAGUUGAAGCUUUUGUUGGGUACCAUGAAUUGAUUUUGCUUCACACUAUCUUGACCAAGAUAGUGUGAAGCUUUUGAGAAUUUGUAGUUGUCCUCCAUCGAUGAAGCUUUGUUGAAUUUCCCUUUUCUUUUUUUUUAUUUUUAUUUUUUGGGAAACUAGAAAUUUGAAAAUGUGGGAGAGCAAACAUAUACAAAUUUUACUUCCACACUGUUGAGCAAGCGAUUGUGAUGCAAGCCACACCUUGUAGUAGUCGAAGGUUUAGAUGAACCAUAUAAAUUGAAUUUGCUUCGAAGGUCUGAGAAUUGUAGUUGCCCUCCAUUGAUGAAACUUUUGUUGGCACCAUAAAUUGGUUUUGCUUCACACUAUCGUGAUUAAAAGUGUAUGAAACUUUUGGGAAUUGUGGUUGCCCUCCAUUGAUGAAGCUCUUGUUAGCACCAUAAAUUGGUUUUGCUUCACACUGUCUUGAUCAAGAGUGUGUGAAGCUUUUGAGAAUUGUGGUUGAACUCCUUUGAUGAAGCUCUUGUUGGCACCAUAAAUUGGUUUUACUUCACACUGUCUUGAUCAAGAGUGUGUGAAGCUUUUGAGAAUUGUGUCUUUUGAUAAAGCUCUUGUUGGCACCAUAAAUUGGUUUUGCUUCACACUGUCUUGAUCAAUAGUGUGUGAAGUUUUUGAGAAUUGUGGUUGCCCUCCAUUGAUGAAGCUCUUGUUGUUGGCACCAUAAAUUGGUUUUGCUUCACACUAUCUUGAUCAAGAAUGCGUGAAGCUUUUGAGAAUUGUGGUUGCCCUCUAUUGAUGAAGCUCUUAUUGGCACCAUAAAUUGGUUUUGCUUCACACUGUCUUGAUUAAGAGUGUGUGAAGCUUUUGAGAAUUGUGGUUGAACUCCUUUGAUGAAGCUCUUGUUGGCACCAUAAAUUGGUUUUGCUUCACACUAUCUUGAUCAAGAGUGUGUGAAGCUUUGGAGAAUUGUGUGGUUGCCCUCCAUUGAUGAAGCUCUUGUUGGCACCAUAAAUUGGUUUUGCUUCACACUGUCUUGAUAAAGAGUGUGUGAAGCUUUUGAGAAUUGUGGUUGAACUCCUUUGAUAAAGCUCUUGUUGGCACCAUAAAUUGGUUUUGCUUCACACUGUCUUGAUAAAGAGUGUGUGAAGCUUUUGAGAAUUAUGGUUGCCCUCCAUUGUUUAAGCUCUUGUUGGCACCAUAAAUUGGUUUUGCUUCACACUGUCUUGAUCAAGAGUGUGUGAAGCUUUUGAGAACUGUGGUUAAACUCCUUUAAUGAAGCUCUUGUUGGCACCAUAAAUUGGUUUUGCUUCACACUGUCUUGAUCAAGAGUGUGUGAAGCUUUUGAGAAUUAUGGUUAAACUCUUUUCAUGAAACUCUUGUUGGCACCAUAAAUUGGUUUUGCUUCACACUGUCUUGAUCAAGAGUGUGUGAAGCUUUUGAGAAUUGUGGUUGCCCUUCAUUGAUGAAGCUAUUGUUGGUACCAUAAAUUAGUUUUGCUUCACAUUGUCUUGAUCAGGAGUGUGUGAAGCUUUCUACGAGUUGUAGUGUUUGCAUUGUUAUAGAGGGGAAAUGUUUGAAGCAGAUGCAAGAGGGCUGAAUAGCUUGAUCUUCGUAUGCCAUGCACUAAAGUUGUUAGCUUGCAAUAAAACUUUGUUGGUGACUAUAACUCUUGUUGGGCAUAAGUGCUCCCCUAGUUGAGUUGUCAAGCUUGAGGGUUUUUUAUUAUUUGUGAAUGCUAGGAGUUCAUAUGUACAAGUUGUACCACUCGUCUUCUGGUAGGUGGAAUGAAUGGUAAGUUGCUUUCAUCACUUGGUCGGUGGUACGAAGGUGAGUUCCUUCUUCCCUUGGUUGGUGGCAUGAAUGGCAAGUUGUCAAAUGAUAUUAGAGUACAGGUUGUACAUUUCAUCACCUGGUUGGUGGCAUGAAGUAGAGAUGAAUGGGUCGUUACAUAAGGGCUAUGUGAGCUUCCACAAUCAAUGGGUCGUUGUGAGGGUAGAUGAUACCUCUUUCUUCCUCAGGGUAGAAACAUAUUGGAUCUUAGUUAGGCUUUUAAUACUUACCUCCCCUGAUGUCUUCCACGUAAAACACUUGGUGGCUAGACCUUAAAGCUCGUUCACUAUUUUUCAUGGCCCUGUUGGAAGAUUUAGAUAUGGGUGUGCCACCACUUAUGGAAUAUAUCACAUUUACCUGGCGUUGGUUACAGUUACCCCUUGGAAGGUGAAGGAGGAAUUGAUCAAUUUUUCCUUCACGUGCCAAAACUUCAAUAUGAUCACGAAGGGUGAUACACUUCUCGCCAUCAUGGCUGUUAUACUCAUGGUAGCAGUAAAACGUGCUCGUGUUUUUCGUGGGCUUGUAAUCCGGGUGCCUCGGCUUUGACUUCGGUAUCAAGUGUGCUAUGCUGGGGUAAAUGGCCACGCAUGUGGCGUUCAAAGGUGUGUAUGCCUCAUACCUCGGGGUAGGGGCUGUCCUGACACGUGCUUGACUUACUAUGUUGACUGCUUGGGGUCGGGGAUUAUCAUGGCGAUACCCUUGGUUAUCGCGGUAGUGUCCCUUACUCCUUUUACUAAAAUAGGACUGGUGAUGAUGGAAAUCUUUCCUUUUGCCCUGAAAUUGAUAUGUUUGUUGACUUGGCAAAGUAUGAAGUAAAGCAGGGGGAGGCACCGCUGCCGUUUGGAAGGUCGAGGUCUUCUCAUUUGAUUGGAUCUGGCUUCCACUCCUUACUUGCUGAUAAAGGGUGGUUGUGGGGGGUUUCCCUUGAUAUGUCCUUACUUCGGUGGAUGCAUGGUUGUAAGCCUGUGCCAUCACCUCAGAGUAAGUCUUCCAAGUGUUGGCAUUGAUCAUGUACUUGAAGAAACAAUCACGUAGGCCUGCCGUGAAGGCCUUGAGGGCGGUCUUGUCAUCUACCUCAGCGCAGCGAGAAUACUCAUGGUUGAAACGACCGGCAUACUCUCGUAGUGACUCAUCCGUCUUCUGGUGAAUAGUGUAUAAGUCAUCUGCAUAAUGCAAGCGAUCGGUCUGGAAGAUGUAUUGAAAGAUAAACAGUUUCCUCGAUUUCUCAAAUGAGUCUACUGUCUCAGGUGGAAGACGGCUAUACCAGUUUAGAGCUCCGCCAGAGAGGGUGGAGGGGAAGAGAAGACAUCGCUCUUCGUCGGUGUGCAUCCGAUAUGCCAUGGUGGACUAAAAAAGGUUAAGGUGUUCAAUUGGGUCUUCCCUUCCAGUAUAGAGUUGUAAACCAAGCUUUUGUUUUGUCUUUGCUUGAAUGGGGUGUCGAGGAUCCUCAUUGUGAGAGGGCCAUGCCUGGGUUGGUUCUAAUCAGGUAUCUCAGCCUGACGUUCGGCCUUCAACUUGUUUACUUCCUCAAGGAGUUGUAGGACAAGGGGGUUCUGAGUGGAGUCAUGUACCACUGGGAUUUUCUUUCGUAAGUCUCCAUCGUCUCUUGGAAGUAGGAAAGUUUGAGCAAAGGCGUGUGAUUUUUCCUUGGACUCGCUAUACUGACUUCUAAGGCAAGUCUGUCGGAAUACCUCAGAAUCCCCUGUACCUUCAUCUCCCUCUGAAACCUGUCGUUCCUUCCCUAGAUUGGCAGAUGGCUUGGGUCGUGGGAGGGGACCGAGUCUUUCAGAAACCCUUGGGUCAUUAAUCUUUGAGCAUAUGUGAAGGGGAUUCUCUCGACGUUGCUUUAAGAAAUCUCGGCAGUCACGAUAAACGACUUUCGAUCCUUCUAACCCUUCUGCAAUGAGGUGUCUUCCUCCACUUCUCCUGCUUCGGGUCGAAGUAGCUGGGUUGAGAGAUGUCUCAUGUUGAUCAAUGUUUUGAUGAUUAACUCGCUCUUCAUCAGGGAUACCCAUGUCAAAUGAAGGUGACCCUCCGUGUUGGAGGGCACCCAGAUGAUGGUUGAUGUCCACAUGGGCAACGAGCUUGCGUGUUUGAGUAUGCCUAGUUUCGUGGAGCGUCUCAAAUAACUUCUCAUACUGCUCUUGGAGGACCUUAUUCUUCAUUGUUAUCUUGUUAUUCUGAGCUUCUAGCUCAUCGACUUUAGCUUGAAGAGCAACCCUCUUUCCUUCCUUCUUUCGUUGCUUCGCACUAGGUGCAAGAGGGGUGUCAUUCUGUGUGCUGUGGCUUCCUUCGCUUCCCAUAUUGGAGAGGGAUGCCUGGUCAAAAGAGAGUGUACGAAUGGUGGAAACUAGCUUGACAAAGCUGAAGAGAGUGGGAAUAAGUGUCGUUCGCACAGACAGCGCCAAAUGUUGAUGCACAAAAUCAGUGAAGACUUUGGUACAACAUAAAGUGUUAAGUUUGUGACCUUCGCUAGAUUGCUCCGGUCACUAGUGUGGAUAAGUAUGUAAAUGGAUAGAGACAGGGAAGCAAACACAAGAUGUACAUGGUUCACCCAGAUUGGCUACGUCCACGGAGUAGAGGAGUUCUCAUUAAUUGUGAAGGGUUUACACAAGUACAUAGAUUCAAGCUCUCAUUUUGUGAGUACCUGUAAAUGAUUUAGUACAAAUGACAUUCGGAAAUAUUGUGAGAGAAUGAUCUCUAUUUAUAGAAGAGAGUUUCUAGUUUCAUUCUAACAUUGACACGUGUCGUGUUGUGAUUGGCUUCUGUUGACACGUGUCGCGCUAUGAUUGGCUUCUGAUGUUGACACGUGUCGGGCUAUGAUUGGCCUCUUGGUUGGAGGGAAACUUUUCUAGGUCCUUGACGGUAUAAUGUUGACCGGUGCUCAGUAGUUUUGGGAUUGGUCAAGUAUGGUACAAACAUUACUUUUAAUAAGUGUUUCUGAAAAGCUUUGUUAUUGCCUACUCACACUUUCUGUUUUGCGUCUUUCCAGGUUCUAGGUAGGUGUGCUUGUUGGUGGCUUGUGAGGAGUUGAUGGCGGUUCUGACAGACUGUAAUUAAUGUAGGACCAUCUCUCUGGUAUUAUAUAAUUAGUAUUUGUCCUGCUGGACUGCACUUAGGUUACCUAUGCUCUGGUUAUGUGUAAUUAUACUUAAAUCUCGUUGCUCGCACCUAUAUUUUUUGUCUAGUGUAAAUUAGUUAGCUUGGUUUUUAUUUACUCACAUUUUUAUAUCCUUAUCACUUCCACAUCGUGCACAUGGUUACGUCACCCUCACGUGACGGCCAACACACCUCAAUUUAGGUCGAGGUGUGUCACAAGAAGUGAUCAUUUAAAUCAAAACCUUGAGAAGAUUAUGUUCUCCGUAAUUAUAUUUAAAAAGUUGUUUUCAAUUACCAUAUUAAAAUUCCCUCACAUUUUUUUCAUACCUACAAUAAUUAAACGUAGCUCUCCAUCCAAUUUCUUGAGCUUGGGUGUCAUCUUGAAGAAAUUUUUCAUUGUGCUCGUAACAUAAGUAGCACACUACGUGUUAUUAUACAAGUAGUGGAAAAUUUUAUUUUUUAUAUUAUUAACUUUUAACAUAAAAAUCUUACCACUUAUAUAAAGACAUAUUUAAUACCGUAUUUCAGGCACAUUAAAAAAUAUCUUAUCAUCUUGACUACUAUUUAAAACAACACUAUAAAAAUAAAACUGGGAGGAGAAAAUGGCAAAGUGACGUGCAAGGCACACAAAUGAACAUAGGAAAUAGAGUGAGUGAAGAUUAAAAAAACAAAAGAAAAGUUUCUAAUGAUUUAAAAAAUAGAACUCAAAUCUUCUUCGGAUCCUCAAAAAUUGAAUUUAAAGAUCAAAUAAUCCGGACUAUUGAAAUUUGAUUUAACGACUACAAUUAUUAUAACUUUAGAGAGACCUCUUAUUUGUAACCGUUUGAUCAAAUUUCAAUGAUCCGAAUUAUUUGAUUGUUAAGCUUAAUUUUUGGGAAUCUGGGUUCUAAAAAAUACAAGAGAAAUGCAAGUGAUGAUUAAAAAAAGCAAGAAGUGUUGUUUUGUCAAAUCCCCCAACGUGGUUUCCACCAAAGAAAACAUUGGGCACCGUCCACUGGCCGGUCCACUCACGCGAGUAUGGUAAGUUUGUUUUUUUUAAUUUUUUAAUUUUUUUUAUCUUUAUCAUUAAAUAAAAUUAUUAAUUUUUUUUAAAUAUAAAAUUUUAAAGUUGUUUUUAUUAGUUUUUUUUUUUAUUCAAUUCUUUAUUUGUGAGAUGACGGGAGGAAUGACCUAAGCCUAAUGCUAAAAGUUCAGGAGAACAACUAAUAGCCGCACCAGUCUCCAAACCCAGUACAUUAAGAAAUUUUUAGUUGUGACGAGAAUAUAAAUGGUACACCAUGUGUUUUAACAGAAGUGAUGAGAAAUUUUAUAUUUUAAGUUAUUAACUUUUUAGCGCACAUAUUCCACUAUUUGUAUAGUAACACGUGGUGUAACACCCUAUAUACCAGUUACAUUGAAAAAUCUCUCGAGUACACUGAGACAAUCGACUAACUUGUAUUGUACAUGCUAAUUUAUUACUCACGUUUGGCAAUUAUCUAGAAAAGAAUUUUGUAUUAUAGAAAGGACUGGAAUCACAUCCGGAUCCCUCCUGCUAAGCAAACUAAGCAAAACAUCCUAUCCUUUCAUUUUUUAUCUUGUGGCAAAAAUCAAGGUUCUAAAAAACGUUAGGCGCUAGUCGGGCGGCGAGUUAACCCCUAGCGCCUAGGCGCCUAGGCGGGGUCUAGGCGGCCUAAGCGAAUUUAAGUAAAUUUCUUGUAUAUCUUGUAAAUAAAUGAAUAUUGACACUUACAAAAAAAUUAUACUUGUAUGAGAUCCAUGGAUAAGAUAAUAAAAUAAUGAUAAAAGGCAAAAAGAGUAUCCAACAAGUCCAAAAUUUUAAAACACAUUAAGCAUAUAUGUCAUAUAACCAUAGUGAGGAGUAUUGUAGGAUGACACAUGUACAACAAGCUCACAAUUUAAAACCACAUAUUCAGCAAAUUUCAGUAAAUUUAUUAUAUAUCAUAUAAAUAAGUGUUUAUCAUAUCUAAAAUAUACAUAAUUUCAUUUAGAAUUAUAAGAUAAUCAAAUUUAAAUAUUAAAUAAUAUGUUUUUUUAAGCGAGAGCUUUAACAUUUUAAGUACAUAAUAAAAAUACGUAUGGUAUGAUCUUAAAAAAAUAAAAUAAAACAUUACAAAAAAAAUAAAAAAAAGAAUGAAAAGUAAUAACGAGGUUAAGAGUGGAAAAAGAAAAGGGUAUAAAAAGUAGUACAAAAAAUGGUGAGAUCCAUUCAAAGAAAACGUGCAGGCUGCAGUAGAUGCUUUUCCUAGAUAAAAGAUGGUGGGACCAUCUUGAUUGAAUCAUGCAAACUGAAUAAUGAUCCAUGUUUACAACCAGACAAAAACAGAAACAAUAUUAAAAACAAAAUAAAUAUGCUAUAAUCGUAAUAAACAAAUUAGCCUUAUGCAGAAACCAAGAUAAAAAACAAAUAAACAAAUUAAACAGCACAAGAAACAAGGAGAAAAAAUAGAUAAACUAAUUAACUAGCACAGGAACCAAGAAGAAAGAAAAUAAAGUAAAGCAUCAUCUUCAUCUUCCUCGCGCCGAGUUGCACGGCGGCUCUGCAACAAUUUUUUCUAGAUUCUGGCGUGCUCUACAAACGCCCGUCUAGCCUCCGCCUAACACCGUCCUGAUCGGCAUAACUCUGACUAGUCCCGCCUAAUCCCGCCCAAGCGUCCAUCUAAUAUAUUUCCGAUUUUGUGUCCGAUUGGAAGCUAAUCGCCGCGGCAACCGAACGCCCAGCGCCUAAGCGCCGCCUAGACCGAUUUUUAGAACACUGCUAAAAAUAAACUUAAAUAGUAAAAAAUUUCACGCAAAACAAGACAAGAUGAAAAUAGAAGGUUGUGAUGUUUUGCUCAGUUUGCUCAGCAGGGGGAUCCGGAGGUGAUCCCAGUCCUUACAGAAAACCACUUAAUGUGGGGUUGUAUUCGGAUAAUAGGUUUAAAAUAACAAAAUUUAUUUAUUUAUCACACACUAACCAAUAUCAUCAAACGUCUAAGCAUGGAUAUACCACUCAGCAAAUUCCAAACCUUAAAGCUCCACAUUAUUCUCACAACUCUACUCUUCCAAGCGAUAAAUUUUACAUACAAAUAUUGGCACAUAAAAGUGCAGGCAUUGUUCUUAUUCAUAGUAAAUAGAAUGCAGCUGGUACGAUAGGGUUUAAAUUAUUCUUGUCAUUCACUGGCAAUAGAACGCUUCACAGUAAUGACGGUACCAUUCACUUGACAUGGUUUUGGAGCCACUCCAACAAGUCUUGAUAAGCCUCCUCAGCAGCCUUACAAGCUGCUUCAUCUUCAUCGUUGUACCUAGUGGUCCACCCGUGUUCCACUUUUGGAAAUAUCUUCACACGGCUUUUGAUCUGUGAUUCCAUAAACCAAACUGUCAUUCCAAAUACAUAAACGCGAAACGUUGAAGAAAUAGAGCCACAUUAAGAAGGUAGAAUAUUUAGGCAUAAUAUAUAAGCCCUUGAACACCUUUGGUUUUGUAAGGGCAAGUUCGACCUAUAACCCGUGACAUAUUUCUACCAAUAACCCAUGACAGAAUGAGAACGAUUAACCUGAAGUCAUCUCAAGGGCUAUAAGGAUGUCCAUGAUUAAAAUCAACAAAUACAUUGAAAAGUGUUUCGAUCGAGAUAUUUCCUACCUCAGGUUUUGCAGCUAAAGCCUCCUCAAAUUGUUUCACGACUUCAGGUGGAGACAAAUGAUCAAUCUCAGCGCCAAGUAUUUGAGUGGGAACCUUAACCGCUGCAAUUUACCCCCAGGAAUUUAUCAAUAAACACAGACCGAACCGUUUUUUAUUUUUCUAUCUACACUUUCUUAGGGUAAAUAUUAGAAAACGUAGGUAUGUGUUCGUUUAAAUUGACACCUACACUAAUUAGCUAAAGAUUUCUUGAAUAUUAAAUAGAGAAAUCGUACCCUUGAUAUCAUCCAGAGUGACAAAUGCAGGAUGACACAUAGCAGCGGCUUGGAUAAGGUCAUGCUUUGAAAGUUCAACCACAACCUUGGCUGAAAACAGAACAAAUGAUUCAAGGUCAACCGAAACAUUUUCCCAUAGGUUGAACUACUAAAUUACGGCUGAGAAGAAAUCCGAUCGAAAAGAAACCAAAAUUUAGAAAUACGAGACAUUCUAUUAAACUGAAAAAGGAACUAAAAAAUUAUAAAGAGAAGAAUCCACCAGGAGGGGAAAAUGAGCUCACCCCCGUAACAGAAUCCUACAGCACCAACUGCAGAAAUACCUUUACUUUUUAAAGCUUCAAGUAAUGGUUUUGUAUCUUCGAAUGCUUUGUCCUGUUUAGAAGAGCGAAACAUUUUAACAAUACUUCUACAAUCAACAGUUUGAUUUUAAAACACUACAAAAUCAGGUCUUUUUAUUUCGUCAGAGGUGGAAAAAAUCAUAUAAACUUUGAAAACAAGAACAGUAAUUCGACUUCCAAGCUGAAGCCACACGCAUCUUCAACUUAAAACAGCCUCAAAACGAGAAUUUCACAUUAUCUUAAACAUUUUAUGCGAAUUCAAGAAUCACAAAGGAUACUUGUAAAAGAAUUCAAUUAUAAUUAAAGGAACAAUUUCUUGAUCUCUACAUGAUAAGAGAUCCAACCGGUUCAUGAUGUUUUAUCCAGCCAGGGAGAGCGGCAAAUCCGUCCUCUCCGAGUUCAAAAGGGUCUCCGUAAAAGAAGUCAGGGACCACAACAAAAAAGCCAGCAGCUGCAAGUUUGUCUGCCAUCUUCCUUCAAAACAGAAGGCAGGUGGUAUUAGUUGAAGGGUACAUGAGAUUAUGAAAACACGCAAAUGAUAUAGUGAUUGAUCAAGUGACUAACACAACUGUGCUUCGAUUUUAUUUUUAUUUUUAUGAUGUUGAGAACUAGAAGGAUGAUCUAUAUUUCUAGACAGUGGUGGAUCCAGAAAUCUAAACUAGAAGGGACCUUUAAGCCAUACAAAAAUAAUUAAACAAAGUAAUUGCAAUUUAUUGAAUGGGAGAAAAAGUAAAGGUUUUGUUUUUUGUAUUGGAAUGACAAUUUUUAAUCAAAUAAGAGUAGUAGAGCUUAAAAUUUUAGUAUUGAAAUGAUUAAUAUAUCAUAAGAACAAAACUUAUUUAUGAGCUUUGAUAAAUAAAAGAUUAAUACGUUAGAUUCAAACAAAAUUUUUUAGUCAAGACUUAAAACCCGAUCUUGUUCUAGACCGUCUUAAGUCUUGUUUUACCCCUUGUUUUAUAUUAACUGUCUAAAAAAGUGGAUAUGAUUUUUAUAUGGUAAAACAUAAGGCUAAUUAUUACAAAAUAAAUAAGUGGGUUUGGUUUUGAUAUGGUAAACAGAAGGCAAAUUAUAAAGGUUUUUUUUUUCUUUAGUUCUCUGAAAUGCAAUUCAGAGAACUAAUCCAUCACACCGUUGCAACACAAAGAAAGUAGCUGUAGAAAAACGGAUAUGCAACAAGUCAUACCUCAAGUUUGGAGCAUCGUAUCCUGCACAAACAAUAAACAUGUUAAAAUAACAAGUGGUUUGCUGAUACAAUGUUAUAGACUCAGGAAGCAAUUUUAUACAACUGAUCGAAAAUCAGUUAUUUCCCGCGAUCGGGGAAGGAACAGAAACAGACGAAAGGAACACACAAAAAGGCAAACAAACUAUGCUCUGAUAUGACAUACAGUUACAAAUAUCCUCAGUCAACCAAAACAUACUAUGCUCUGAUAUGACCUAAAGUGAACACAGCUGAGGCUAGAUUAUCAUCAGUCAACCAAAACAUAUUUAUAGCACCUAUUAACAUAGUAGUUGAGUAUCAAACUUGUCUAGUAAAUAUCGCUAGACUGACAUAACACCAAUUAUACACUCCAAAAAUCUAUACCCUAUAAACAAAAACCAUACACAGGCCAAUCAAAACACAAUAAAUAAACAUAACCCAUGUCAGAAAAUGAAAAAAAAAUUGCAGAAAUUACUAAACCAAAUUAAACAGCAGAGAUUUUUGAAGUUGUGGGAGCUUAGAAAGAACCAAAAAUAUCAGAGAGGAGAAGAACGGCGAGCUUGGAGUCAGGGGAGCCGACAAGAUAGGUGUCGAGACCGCCGAACUUCUCGACGCGGCCGGAGCCACUCGAUGGGUUCAGGGUUGGUGGGUGGGAGCAGCACUGAGGGCCUGACAUUUUUGUUUUUGUUUUUCUCUGAAACAAACACACAGUCUGCUCAUCUGAUCAAAUAAUAUAUAGAGUUGAGUUGACUCGUUAACUAAUUGAUUAGAAAGGAAGGUUAGGCUUGGGAGAGGGAGAGAAACUCUAGUUAACAUGCAUUAAACAUUGACCCUCCUUCUUUUCAAUAAUUACGAUCUGAUUUUACUCAAAUUUAGAGUGGCUAUAAUAUUACGCUCACCUUAUUCCCAUAACUUUGGAAUCGUAUCCAAACCUGCUUUUGAUGACUUUGACAAAUGGACUACCAAACCAACACCAUGACUUUAACAAAUGAACUCCCAAACCAACACCACUGAAUAAGAUUUACAAUCUCAUUGUAAUACAAACAUCUAGUAUUAUUGAUAGGAACAUAUUUAUGUGACUUAGUUAGCUUGUUCUUGUGCAUUUGUAUUGUUAUUUCUUAGUUAAUUAUGUAUUUUAAACUAUUUUCGUGUGUUUGUAGGUCAUAAUAACAAAGUUAGCAAGAAAGUGCAUUUUGGAGCAUUUUAGAGCAUUUUUUAGCCAAGAUUGGAUAGUGCAAGCAUGGAGACAUGAGGAUGCAUGUUUUUGAAGAUUUGAAGGCUAGAAAUCAACAUGUUUGUGUGCAAGUGUGUUGACCUACAACUCCAAACAUCCAUCCACUACACCCAUUACGUCCACUCAUUACCAAACAUCAAUCUACUACACCCAUUACAUCCACUUAUUACCAAACACUCAUCCACUACACUCAUU
Molecule: long non-coding RNA, 44109 nt
Filed under: Malus domestica (apple)
Lineage: Eukaryota; Viridiplantae; Streptophyta; Magnoliopsida; Rosales; Rosaceae
Description: long non-coding RNA (MDOM_LNC012005)
Source: RNAcentral